GCCUUCGUGGUGUAAUGGUCAACACGCUGGGAGCCAAUUUCAGAGGUCCGUGGUUCGAGUCCCGGCGGAGGCG
RNAcentral lists this transfer RNA (73 nucleotides) under Stegodyphus mimosarum. It matches the Rfam family "tRNA". Rfam says of the family: Transfer RNA (tRNA) molecules are approximately 80 nucleotides in length. Their secondary structure includes four short double-helical elements and three loops (D, anti-codon, and T loops). Further hydrogen bonds mediate the characteristic L-shaped molecular structure. tRNAs have two regions of fundamental functional importance: the anti-codon, which is responsible for specific mRNA codon recognition, and the 3' end, to which the tRNAs corresponding amino acid is attached (by aminoacyl-tRNA synthetases). tRNAs cope with the degeneracy of the genetic code in two manners: having more than one tRNA (with a specific anti-codon) for a particular amino acid; and 'wobble' base-pairing, i.e. permitting non-standard base-pairing at the 3rd anti-codon position. Lineage: Eukaryota; Metazoa; Arthropoda; Arachnida; Araneae; Eresidae. The record is from Rfam by way of RNAcentral.